Molecule: transfer RNA, 83 nt
Filed under: Ixodes scapularis (black-legged tick)
Lineage: Eukaryota; Metazoa; Arthropoda; Arachnida; Ixodida; Ixodidae
Description: tRNA-Ser
Rfam family: tRNA
About the family: Transfer RNA (tRNA) molecules are approximately 80 nucleotides in length. Their secondary structure includes four short double-helical elements and three loops (D, anti-codon, and T loops).
Source: RNAcentral
GCAGUCGUGGCCGAGUGGUUAAGGCGAUGGACUCGAAAUCCAUUGGGGUUUCCCCGCACAGGUUCGAAUCCUGUCGGCUCGCG